Molecule: ribosomal RNA, 253 nt
Filed under: uncultured bacterium
Lineage: Bacteria
Description: partial 16S ribosomal RNA
Rfam family: Bacterial small subunit ribosomal RNA
Source: RNAcentral
UACGUAGGUGGCGAGCGUUGUCCGGAUUUACUGGGCGUAAAGAGCGCGCAGGCGGUCGUCCAAGUCGCGUGUGAAAGCCCCCGGCUCAACUGGGGAGGGUCACGCGAUACUGAUCGACUCGAAGGCAGGAGAGGGAAGUGGAAUUCCCGGUGUAGUGGUGAAAUGCGUAGAUAUCAGGAGGAACACCCGAGGCGAAGGCGGCUCUCUGGGUCGUACCUGACGCUGAGGCGCGAAAGCGUGGGGAGCGAACGGG